RNAcentral lists this ribosomal RNA (466 nucleotides) under Vreelandella stevensii. RNAcentral's name for it is "partial 16S ribosomal RNA". It matches the Rfam family "Bacterial small subunit ribosomal RNA", at positions 338 to 795 of the family's 1533-position model. Lineage: Bacteria; Pseudomonadati; Pseudomonadota; Gammaproteobacteria; Oceanospirillales; Halomonadaceae. The record is from RNAcentral.
CCUACGGGGGGCAGCAGUGGGGAAUAUUGGACAAUGGGGGGAACCCUGAUCCAGCCAUGCCGCGUGUGUGAAGAAGGCCCUCGGGUUGUAAAGCACUUUCAGUGAGGAAGAACGCCUGGUGGUUAAUACCCAUCAGGAAAGACAUCACUCACAGAAGAAGCACCGGCUAACUCCGUGCCAGCAGCCGCGGUAAUACGGAGGGUGCGAGCGUUAAUCGGAAUUACUGGGCGUAAAGCGCGCGUAGGUGGCUUGAUAAGCCGGUUGUGAAAGCCCCGGGCUCAACCUGGGAACGGCAUCCGGAACUGUCAAGCUAGAGUGCAGGAGAGGAAGGUAGAAUUCCCGGUGUAGCGGUGAAAUGCGUAGAGAUCGGGAGGAAUACCAGUGGCGAAGGCGGCCUUCUGGACUGACACUGACACUGAGGUGCGAAAGCGUGGGUAGCAAACAGGAUUAGAUACCCCGUGUAGUC